AGCAGAGAUUGCUUUUGGUGCCUUUCGGGGAACUCUGAGACAGGUGCUGUAUGGCUGUCGUCAGCUCGUGUUGUGAAAUGUUGGGUUAAGUCCCGCAACGAGCGCAACCCUUUAUCCUUUGUUGCCAGCGAUUCGGUCGGGAACUCAAAGGAGACUGCCAGUGAUAAACUGGAGGAAGGUGGGGAUGACGUCAAGUCAUCAUGGCCCUUACGAGUAGGGCUACACACGUGCUACAAUGGCGCAUACAAAGAGAAGCGACCUCGCGAGAGCAAGCGGACCUCAUAAAGUGCGUCGUAGUCCGGAUUGGAGUCUGCAACUCGACUCCAUGAAGUCGGAAUCGCUAGUAAUCGUAGAUCAGAAUGCUACGGUGAAUACGUUCCCGGGCCUUGUACACACCGCCCGUCACACCAUGGGAGUGGGUUGCAAAAGAAGUAGGUAGCUUAACUUUCGGGAGGGCGCUUACCACUUUGUGAUUCAUGACUGGGGUGAAGUCGUAACAAGGUAAGCGUAGUGCU
Molecule: ribosomal RNA, 515 nt
Filed under: uncultured bacterium
Lineage: Bacteria
Description: bacterial SSU rRNA
Rfam family: Bacterial small subunit ribosomal RNA
Source: RNAcentral